CUUUUCGGCCGCGGCGCGUGACUGGGCUUGGUGGAGUUUCAAGAUGCUGAUGAACUUAAGGUCUGGCGCUUGAAAGAAUCAGUGAAGCUUUUCAAGUAGAGGAGGUAUAUUUGAAUAUGUAACCUUUAUACUCUACUUUGAAGAAAGGAAUGGAACAGAAGGUGUCUGCAUAACUAAAUGGGGAUCUAGAGAAAGUGGAGACUGCCUCUGGAGCAGGGAGGAGGUGCCCUACUGUGUAUUGCUGGGGUCGUAUAGCCAAUUGGCGAACUAGCUGAUAAACCCUGGACAGAAAUAGAAACUACAAGAAGUGAAACAAAGUUCCAUCCAAGAAUGAAACAACAACUGAUCACGUGAGAUGCCCAUGUCAUCACUUGACCCACAGACAGGGGAGCAAAUAUAUUGAUGAUCUGGUCCUCCUGCCGGACUGUUGGUAUUCAUCCCUGUAAGUGAGAGGAAGGAAACAUUGCAACUUAAUGGGUGAGUCCUUCCUUCUGGUGAAUUUAACAUCAUGCAUUUGCUAGAUUUGCUAGCCAUGCAGUUAUGGUGAAAACAGGAAAGAUCCCUUUGGGUUUAACUAUAGAUUAGCCAUAGGAUUUGCAACCAGGAAAAGACCUUCAAGAUCAAUUCUAUUGGAACAUGGACAAUUAACAUAAAUAAACUGAGAAACAGACA
This 672-nucleotide long non-coding RNA is filed under the name Homo sapiens (human). Its description in RNAcentral is "small nucleolar RNA host gene 26". Lineage: Eukaryota; Metazoa; Chordata; Mammalia; Primates; Hominidae. The record is from RNAcentral.